UCCGGUUUAUCACCGGCAGUCUCCUUUGAGUUCCCGACCGAAUCGCUGGCAACAAAGGAUAAGGGUUGCGCUCGUUGCGGGACUUAACCCAACAUUUCACAACACGAGCUGACGACAGCCAUGCAGCACCUGUCUCAGAGCUCCCGAAGGCACCAAAGCAUCUCUGCCAAGUUCUCUGGAUGUCAAGAGUAGGUAAGGUUCUUCGCGUUGCAUCGAAUUAAACCACAUGCUCCACCGCUUGUGCGGGCCCCCGUCAAUUCAUUUGAGUUUUAACCUUGCGGCCGUACUCCCCAGGCGGUCGAUUUAACGCGUUAGCUCCGAAAGCCACGGCUCAAGGCCACAACCUUCAAAUCGACAUCGUUUACAGCGUGGACUAC
This 377-nucleotide unclassified non-coding RNA is filed under the name uncultured Enterobacteriaceae bacterium. RNAcentral's name for it is "contains 16S-23S intergenic spacer region". Lineage: Bacteria; Pseudomonadati; Pseudomonadota; Gammaproteobacteria; Enterobacterales; Enterobacteriaceae. The record is from RNAcentral.